Molecule: unclassified non-coding RNA, 447 nt
Filed under: Strychnos spinosa
Lineage: Eukaryota; Viridiplantae; Streptophyta; Magnoliopsida; Gentianales; Loganiaceae
Description: partial external transcribed spacer
Source: RNAcentral
GGUAUGUUGGAUCCCUGCUUGGGCAGCGACGUCCUCUCAUGUACGCCUAUUCAGUGCUAGGCCAAGUGCGACGUUAGCCUUGGCCGUUCGUUCGGUUUCCUGUGCUGCGUACCUACUGUGAUGGCAACGUUUGUYUAAGUUGUCCCAUGUUCGUCUUGUGCUGCCCGUCAGGGAUUGCUAACUAGAUGAACCGCGAAGCACUCCUUGCGAUCCUCAACGCCCACGGCAUGUCGUGCGGUGUCUGUGGCACGUGGCGAGUUGCUUGUUCUUUCGGAUGCAGAAUGCAUAGCGGGUACGGGGUUGCUGACCUCUAUUUACCCAAAACGAAGCGUUCGUCGCUAACCAGCGCACGACUGUCGUCUCCGUUUUGGCAAGCGGACCCUUGCGGUCGCGCUGGACCACGCGGUGUCGACGUCUGUGAGGAAUGCUACCUGGUUGGAUCCUGCA